This 74-nucleotide transfer RNA is filed under the name Melampsora pinitorqua Mpini7. RNAcentral's name for it is "tRNA-Asn (GTT) (tRNA-Asn-GTT-8-1)". It matches the Rfam family "tRNA". Rfam says of the family: Transfer RNA (tRNA) molecules are approximately 80 nucleotides in length. Their secondary structure includes four short double-helical elements and three loops (D, anti-codon, and T loops). Further hydrogen bonds mediate the characteristic L-shaped molecular structure. tRNAs have two regions of fundamental functional importance: the anti-codon, which is responsible for specific mRNA codon recognition, and the 3' end, to which the tRNAs corresponding amino acid is attached (by aminoacyl-tRNA synthetases). tRNAs cope with the degeneracy of the genetic code in two manners: having more than one tRNA (with a specific anti-codon) for a particular amino acid; and 'wobble' base-pairing, i.e. permitting non-standard base-pairing at the 3rd anti-codon position. Lineage: Eukaryota; Fungi; Basidiomycota; Pucciniomycetes; Pucciniales; Melampsoraceae. The record is from RNAcentral.
GCUGGAAUGGCUCAGUUGGUUAGAGCGUGUGGCUGUUAACCACGAGGUCGGAGGUUCAAGCCCUCCUUCUAGCG